This 253-nucleotide ribosomal RNA is filed under the name uncultured bacterium. RNAcentral describes it as "partial 16S ribosomal RNA". It matches the Rfam family "Bacterial small subunit ribosomal RNA", at positions 524 to 776 of the family's 1533-position model. The record is from RNAcentral.
UACGUAGGUGGCAAGCGUUGUCCGGAUUUACUGGGCGUAAAGAGCGCGCAGGCGGUCGUUCAAGUCGCGUGUGAAAUCCCCGGGCUCAACCUGGGAACUGCAUUUGUGACUGCAUCGCUGGAGUGCGGCAGAGGGGGAUGGAAUUCCGCGUGUAGCAGUGAAAUGCGUAGAUAUGCGGAGGAACACCGAUGGCGAAGGCAAUCCCCUGGGCCUGCACUGACGCUCAUGCACGAAAGCGUGGGGAGCAAACAGG